This 539-nucleotide ribosomal RNA is filed under the name Campylobacter jejuni. RNAcentral describes it as "partial 23S ribosomal RNA". It matches the Rfam family "Bacterial large subunit ribosomal RNA", at positions 1 to 559 of the family's 2925-position model. The record is from RNAcentral. Lineage: Bacteria; Pseudomonadati; Campylobacterota; Epsilonproteobacteria; Campylobacterales; Campylobacteraceae.
AAAGGUAAGCUACUAAGAGCGAAUGGUGGAUGCCUUGACUGGUAAAGGCGAUGAAGGACGUACUAGACUGCGAUAAGCUACGGGGAGCUGUCAAGAAGCUUUGAUCCGUAGAUUUCCGAAUGGGGCAACCCAAUGUAUAGAGAUAUACAUUACCUAUAUAGGAGCGAACGAGGGGAAUUGAAACAUCUUAGUACCCUCAGGAAAAGAAAUCAAUAGAGAUUGCGUCAGUAGCGGCGAGCGAAAGCGCAAGAGGGCAAACCCAGUGCUUGCACUGGGGGUUGUAGGACUGCAAUAUGCAAGAGGUAAGUUUAGCAGAACAUUCUGGAAAGUAUAACCAUAGAGGGUGAUAGUCCCGUAUGCGAAAAACAAACCUUAGCUAGCAGUAUCCUGAGUAGGGCGGGACACGAGGAAUCCUGUCUGAAUCCGGGUCGACCACGAUCCAACCCUAAAUACUAAUACCAGAUCGAUAGUGCACAAGUACCGUGAGGGAAAGGUGAAAAGAACUGAGGUGAUCAGAGUGAAAUAGAACCUGAAACCAU